GUGAUGGGUAUUGGACGUUAUAUUGUGGCCACUUUUAAGAACUGAAGCGAGUCUGUGCAUAGUUUGGCCAUUGAACAGCCGUUAGUGGAACGAAAUUCAAUUUAAAAAUUAAAAACGCCGUUGAUGGCGAUAUCUGAUCGCGAUGAACUGAUUGACUCCUGCUUUUAAAAUCAAGAUUCGGUUACUAAUCUUUACUUACUGCCAUUUAAGUGGUCCUCCCUAGUAUAAUAACGAGCACGAUUCUUCGAAAAGCAGGCUACCAAGGACAGUAUAAUGACGGCAAUUAGCACAAAGAUGAUGCCACCCAAAAUGGCCAGAGUAUUGAGACCGCCUGUUGGAGAAAUUAAGAGGGAUUUUAAAGAUAAUCAGAUUUGCAUUGUCAUGGCCUCUGUUUUUUUGGAUAGUAGGUGCAACACUUGAAUAAGCCCUAUAAGUUGCCAAUUAUCAAACUCUUACCAUGCUCAAGAAAGUUAUAGGAAGUGCUGGCGGCAUUCUGCUCCUCGUCGGUGAUGAAAGUUAGGCACUUGUGCAGGCCGUUAAUAUCCAAAUUAUUUAUUUCCGAUCCGCGCAGGUUUUUAGGCAAAAAGCAACUGGGAUACGUAUCCCAUUUCCAUUGCAACUAUUCGUUAAAAAGACAAGGAAAAGUGUGGAAAUACAAGGCGCUUGCCGGCUCUGGCAACGUUUAUUUUGGUUGUAACUGGAAUUUCACUUACUUGGCGGACGACAUUUAUUAAUUUUCCCAUGUGAC
Molecule: small RNA, 748 nt
Filed under: Drosophila ananassae
Lineage: Eukaryota; Metazoa; Arthropoda; Insecta; Diptera; Drosophilidae
Description: GF27928
Source: RNAcentral